This 319-nucleotide unclassified non-coding RNA is filed under the name Hevea brasiliensis (rubber tree). Lineage: Eukaryota; Viridiplantae; Streptophyta; Magnoliopsida; Malpighiales; Euphorbiaceae. The record is from RNAcentral.
AAUGAACAAGUUAAUAAACACCACUAUCAUAAAACCUUGUAUGCACACUGCUCACAAAAGCUUCAUGCUAAACAAGUGAAUAAUGCCUGUAUAAGGAAUCUUACACUAUUCACACACUACAUAUGUAAAACACAGGUCCCAAAUUUGUAAAUGAAAAACUAGAUCAGAUUUGCUCAAGAAAAACUUUUGUAGACAGAUUAUUAAGAUUCAAACACCUAAACAGUAGAAGAAAUACAAAUCCCACAGAAAAAGUUACAGUUAGUCCAAAAUCAAAAUAGAAUAUUUUAGUACAAAGGAGGUACCUUGUUUGUCGGUCAUU